This 572-nucleotide ribosomal RNA is filed under the name Plasmodium knowlesi. Its description in RNAcentral is "SSU rRNA". It matches the Rfam family "Eukaryotic small subunit ribosomal RNA", at positions 843 to 1369 of the family's 1831-position model. The record is from RNAcentral. Lineage: Eukaryota; Apicomplexa; Aconoidasida; Haemosporida; Plasmodiidae.
UUUUUCUUAUUUUGGCUUAGUUACGAUUAAUAGGAGUAGCUUGGGGGCAUUUGUAUUCAGAUGUCAGAGGUGAAAUUCUUAGAUUUUCUGGAGACAAACAACUGCGAAAGCAUUUGCCUAAAAUACUUCCAUUAAUCAAGAACGAAAGUUAAGGGAGUGAAGACGAUCAGAUACCGUCGUAAUCUUAACCAUAAACUAUGCCGACUAGGCUUUGGAUGAAAGAUUUUAAAAUAAGAGUUUUUCUUUUCUCUCCGGAGAUUAGAACUCUUAGAUUGCUUCCUUCAGUGCCUUAUGAGAAAUCAAAGUCUUUGGGUUCUGGGGCGAGUAUUCGCGCAAGCGAGAAAGUUAAAAGAAUUGACGGAAGGGCACCACCAGGCGUGGAGCUUGCGGCUUAAUUUGACUCAACACGGGAAAACUCACUAGUUUAAGACAAGAGUAGGAUUGACAGAUUAAUAGCUCUUUCUUGAUUUCUUGGAUGGUGAUGCAUGGCCGUUUUUAGUUCGUGAAUAUGAUUUGUCUGGUUAAUUCCGAUAACGAACGAGAUCUUAACCUGCUAAUUAGCGGCAAAUACA